Molecule: ribosomal RNA, 468 nt
Filed under: uncultured bacterium
Lineage: Bacteria
Description: partial 16S ribosomal RNA
Rfam family: Bacterial small subunit ribosomal RNA
Source: RNAcentral
GACGAACGCUGGCGGCGUGCUUAACACAUGCAAGUCGAACGGAAAGGCCCUGCUUUUGUGGGGUGCUCGAGUGGCGAACGGGUGAGUAACACGUGAGUAACCUGCCCUUGACUUUGGGAUAACUUCAGGAAACUGGGGCUAAUACCGGAUAGGAGCUCCUGCUGCAUGGUGGGGGUUGGAAAGUUUCGGCGGUUGGGGAUGGACUCGCGGCUUAUCAGCUUGUUGGUGGGGUAGUGGCUUACCAAGGCUUUGACGGGUAGCCGGCCUGAGAGGGUGACCGGCCACAUGGGGACUGCGGUACGGGCCAGACUCCUACGGGAGGCAGCAGUGGGGAAUAUUGCACAAUGGGCGGAAGCCUGAUGCAGCAACGCCGCGUGCGGGAUGACGGCCUUCGGGUUGUAAACCGCUUUCGCCUGUGACGAAGCGUGAGUGACGGUAAUGGGUAAAGAAGCACCGGCUAACUACGUG